CUACGGGUCGCAGCAGUCGAGGAAAUUUUACAAUGCUCGAAAGAGUGAUCGAGCAAGCCAGAGUGUUUCUCUUAGAGAAACUUUUGUCUGCUUUAAAAAGGCAGAUGAAUAAGGACUGGGCAAGACCGGUGCCAGCCGCCGCGGUAAUACCGGCGGUCCAAGUUGCAUCCACAUUUAUUGGGUCUAAGACAUCCGUAGCUUGUUUUGUAAGUCUCUUGUGAAAUCUCAUGUCUCAAGCAUGAGGCGCGCAAGAGAUACUACAUUACUAGAGACCGGGAGGCGCAAAGAGUACGAUUGAGGUAGCGGUAAAAUGUGUUAAUCUUAAUUGGACUAACAAUGGCGAAGGCACUUUGCGAGAACGGAUCUGACAGUGAGGGAUGAAGGCUAGGGGCGCAAAAGGGAUUAGAUACCCUUGUAGUC
RNAcentral lists this ribosomal RNA (420 nucleotides) under uncultured archaeon. RNAcentral describes it as "partial 16S ribosomal RNA". It matches the Rfam family "Archaeal small subunit ribosomal RNA", at positions 323 to 746 of the family's 1478-position model. The record is from RNAcentral.